Molecule: ribosomal RNA, 497 nt
Filed under: uncultured bacterium
Lineage: Bacteria
Description: partial 16S ribosomal RNA
Rfam family: Bacterial small subunit ribosomal RNA
Source: RNAcentral
GAUGAACGCUGGCGGCGUGCCUAAUACAUGCAAGUCGAGCGGACGGACGAGAAUCUUGCUUCUCUGAUGUUAGCGGCGGACGGGUGAGUAACACGUGGAUAACCUACCUAUAAGACUGGGAUAACUUCGGGAAACCGGAGCUAAUACCGGAUGAUAUUUUGAACCGCAUGGUUCAAAAGUGAAAGACGGUCUUGCUGUCACUUAUAGAUGGAUCCGCGCUGCAUUAGAUAGUUGGUAAGGUAACGGCUUACCAAGGCAACGAUGCAUAGCCGACCUGGGAGAGUGAUCGGCCACACUGGAACUGGAACACGGUCCAGACUCCUACGGGAGGCCGCAGUAGGGAAUCUUCCGCAAUGGGCGAAAGCCUGACGGAGCAACGCCGGGUGAGUGAUGAAGGUCUUCGGGUCGGAAAACUCUGUUAUUAGGGAAGAACAUAUGUGUAAGUAACUGUGCACAUCUUGACGGUACCUAAUCAGAAAGCCACGGCUAACUACGUG